Molecule: ribosomal RNA, 514 nt
Filed under: uncultured Hanseniaspora
Lineage: Eukaryota; Fungi; Ascomycota; Saccharomycetes; Saccharomycodales; Saccharomycodaceae
Description: eukaryotic LSU rRNA
Rfam family: Eukaryotic large subunit ribosomal RNA
Source: RNAcentral
AAACCAACUGGGAUUACCUUAGUAACGGCGAGUGAAGCGGUAAAAGCUCAAAUUUGAAAUCUGGUACUUUCAGUGCCCGAGUUGUAAUUUGUAGAAUUUGUCUUUGAUUAGGUCCUUGUCUAUGUUCCUUGGAACAGGACGUCAUAGAGGGUGAGAAUCCCGUUUGGCGAGGAUACCUUUUCUCUGUAAGACUUUUUCGAAGAGUCGAGUUGUUUGGGAAUGCAGCUCAAAGUGGGUGGUAAAUUCCAUCUAAAGCUAAAUAUUGGCGAGAGACCGAUAGCGAACAAGUACAGUGAUGGAAAGAUGAAAAGAACUUUGAAAAGAGAGUGAAAAAGUACGUGAAAUUGUUGAAAGGGAAGGGCAUUUGAUCAGACAUGGUGUUUUUUAAAUGUGCAAGUCUCUCGUGGACAUGUGCCUCUGGAAAUUAACACUGGGCCAACAUCAGUUCUGGCGGCAGGAUAAAUCAUUAAGAAUGUAGCUACCUCGGUAGUGUUAUAGCUUUUGGAAUACUGCC